Molecule: long non-coding RNA, 1673 nt
Filed under: Salmo salar (Atlantic salmon)
Lineage: Eukaryota; Metazoa; Chordata; Actinopteri; Salmoniformes; Salmonidae
Description: lncRNA (ENSSSAG00000082757.1)
Source: RNAcentral
GUGACUUCCAGACACAUUAGACUAACGGGACCAUAAUGAUCCCUUUUUUCCCUGCCACUUUCAGACAGCGUCAAAGCUUCAAAGAGAAUAGCUUCUAUACUAAAAUAUUUGCACAGCAGCUUCUAUACUAAAAUAUUUGCACACACAUCCUGCUGCAGAGAACAUCCAACAGCAGACUCUGCUGCAGCCACAGACGUUAAUAAUUUGUAAUAAUCCUACAUUAAAGUGCUAAUGUGGAGGUUAAGAACCACAUGGAGAAGUGGGAAAGUUCAGAUAUGUCUCUGAGCACGUACAAUGCAGGGGGGGAAUGAUUCGACUUUGAUUCAUUCUAAAAGCCUCCAUUUCGCCUUGACAUCUCUCUCCCUCACUCUUCCUCGCUCUCUCUCUCUGGACUUCUCUCUCUGUCUCUCUAAAACCUAUUUUCAAUCUCUCUUACUGUCUCUCUCUCUCUCUCUCUCUCUCUCUCUCUCUCUCUCUCUCUCUCUCUCUCUCUCUCUCUCUCUCUCCCUCUCUCCCUCUCCCUCAGCCUUUACCACCCACCAGUCUUUCCUCUCUGUCCCUGUCGGUUUCCUGUGCCACUGUGUCAGCAGAGUGGGAAUUGCAGUACAGGGGUGACAUUUCAAGCAGACAGAUUAGGCCUCUCUCCAAUUAAUUUUGCUUUCCUUCCCGGUUAAAUAUACAAUCAACCAAAAGCAAAAUGUCAGUGAAACAAACGAGGAGAUGUCAUGCGGCUGAGAAUUACCGCCAAGAACCUCAGAAAUGCCAAUAUGUUAAAGCUGGAUCAGACUGCAGGAUGAAUGGGACAAACAAGACCGGGUUCAAAUACUAUUCGAAACCAUCACUGUUUUGGGCUGUUGGUACAAUCAGGGCUGGCCUUAGAUUUACAUGUUAGUGUUCCUUUUAAAUACCACCAUGAGACAUAGGAGAAGGACAGAAAGACAGAAGGUAGAGGGGGAAGAAGACAGUAUUUGUACAAUGUAUCUAGGGAAGUUGAGACACCUGCUCCUCCAACCAACACACAGAUCAAAACCCAGGGUUUUUUAAAACCUGAAAGAAUAAGCCUUUGGUUCCUAAUUGGUACGAAUAGUGCAGCAUGCAGAAGAGUGUCAUUUACUUUUAAUUUUAAAUAAAUGCCUAUUUCGUCUAAUAUCAACUGGCAAAUACAUUUAUUUGCCCUUAUCAAUUAACUCAAUGGAUUGGUAUUCAUUUGACUAGGACGCCCUUCAAAACCAUCCAAAAUCAUGGACUACUGCCUGGGAGUUAACACUAGAACCGUCAUAGGCCAACAGCCACUGAUGUUUGAUUUUGUAAUUAAAAACAAUCUGCCCCCCCAAAAACGAUGUCCUGCUCCUUCCCUGACAUUUGCUAAAUGUUUAUGUUUUACACUGCUCAUUUGUCAGAAGUUUGAAAGUAUUUAGAGCCUUUUAACAUUUUUUUCACACCUAUUUUUUACUUAACCCACCAAGACAAUGUGCUGUAGGACAUUGGUACCCAGCCAGGCGCUAAUGCAUCUCUCUCUCCUCACUGAAUGACAAAUGGAUUUAAAUUAGGCUGACUGAAUGAUCAGGGUGAAGAGGUUGAUUUAAUUGAUUAAACAAUACUAUAAUGAUGAGUUUGUGUUAUGCCUAUUUUUCAGCAGUUCGGCGAUAAGUUAAUAAUUUGACAGUGUCUUG